GCGCACAUAGAUUAAAGGCUAGAUUAUCUGCCUUCCAAGCAGAAGGUAUGGGUUCAAUUCCCAUUGUGCGUA
RNAcentral lists this transfer RNA (72 nucleotides) under Histiona aroides. RNAcentral's name for it is "tRNA-Gly". It matches the Rfam family "tRNA". From Rfam's summary of the family: Transfer RNA (tRNA) molecules are approximately 80 nucleotides in length. Lineage: Eukaryota; Jakobea; Jakobida; Histionidae. The record is from RNAcentral.